RNAcentral lists this transfer RNA (93 nucleotides) under Vibrio parahaemolyticus. RNAcentral's name for it is "tRNA-Ser". It matches the Rfam family "tRNA". Rfam says of the family: Transfer RNA (tRNA) molecules are approximately 80 nucleotides in length. Their secondary structure includes four short double-helical elements and three loops (D, anti-codon, and T loops). The record is from RNAcentral. Lineage: Bacteria; Pseudomonadati; Pseudomonadota; Gammaproteobacteria; Vibrionales; Vibrionaceae.
GGUGAGUUGUCCGAGAGGCUGAAGGAGUGCGCCUGGAAAGCGCAUAUAUAGUUUAUAGCUGUAUCGAGGGUUCGACCCCCUCACUCACCGCCA